RNAcentral lists this long non-coding RNA (5583 nucleotides) under Homo sapiens (human). RNAcentral describes it as "HSALNT0048584". The record is from RNAcentral. Lineage: Eukaryota; Metazoa; Chordata; Mammalia; Primates; Hominidae.
GGGCAUCUCCAGCGCGGUGGAGGCUCGUCCUGGAAGCCCUGCCUGGUUUUAGGAAGAGGGCAAGGAAUGGGUGCUCGGGACUUGACGUGUGGGGAGGUGAGAGGGACUAAGAGUACAUUUUCUAUUGAUUUCUGGCCACCCACCAAGGCUGUGCACCCAACUGCUGUGUCCCUCAGCCUCCCCCAGGUCUGCUGAGGCCACCUUUUCCCUCCACAUUCUCCUGAAAGGUGGAAGGGAUUUAAGGGUCUUUUCCCAGCCCCCGUGACUGCUGCCAUCAGCAGAAGGGUCAGGAUCUCCUUCCUCCUGGAACACAAGGCUUUACAGGAACUCUCCAAUGUUCUAGGAUGAAAAUAUGCACAUUAAGAGUAGCUGCAUCUGGCUAUCGCAAGGACAAAAAACCAAACACAGCAUGUUCUCACUCGUAGGUGGGAAUUGAAUAAUGAGAACACAUGGACACAGGAAGGGGAACAUCACACACCAGGGACUGUUGUGGCGUAGGGGGAGGGAGGAGGGAUAGCAUUAGGAGAUAUACCUAAUGCUAAAUGACGAGUUAAUGGGUGCAGCACACUAACAUGGCAUAUGUAUACAUAUGUAACAAACCCGCACGUUGUGCACAUGUACCCUAAAACUUAAAGUAUUAAAAAAAAAAAAAAAAAAGAGUAGCUGCAUCUGGCAAACCCGGGAGAUCUUUGCACUCUCCAGCUCCCAGCUUUCUCUCCCUGCCCAGCUGGGCAGCCCUUCAAGCCCUCCAGCCCCUUCCUCUUAAGUAGAUAAUGAAGAAAGUGGCUGUAUUGUGUGUCUCCUGGAGUAUUGGCGUUGGUUGGGGGGCGGAGGGUCCCAGCAAGGAGACCUGUCACCUGUGAUGCUGCCAAUGUCACAUUCACCUGCCAGCCUGGCCUGCCUGGGCGAGCGCGCCUGCCCUAACCCUCCUCCCUUAGGGUGCAAUCCAUUUUUUUGUUGAGGCUGUGAUUGUUCUGAUUUUUGUUUCAACCCCUUUGCUGACCAGGCCUCCAAUAGAAAGAAGGGAAUUCACACACAUUUUCUAUACCCUAAUGAGUGCAUGCAUUUUUUUUUUUUUUAGAUGAAGUCUCUCUUUGUUGCCCAGGCUGGAGUGCAAUGAUGCGAUCUCUGCUCACUGCAACCUCUGCCUCCCAGUCUCAAGCAAUUCUUCUGCCUCAGCCUCCCAAGUAGCUAGGACUACAGGCGUCUGCCACCACACCCAGCUAAUUUUUGUUUUUUUGGUAGAGACGGGGUUUCGCCAUAUUGACCAGGCUAGUCUCGAACUCCUGACCUCAAGUGAUCCACCCACUUUGGCCUCCCAAAGUGCUGGGAUUACAGGCAUGAACUACCACGCCCUGUCCCUCCUAAGCUUUUUGUAGACACAUUGCUGUUGCCUGAGCCUGAAGAGCCUUUUCUCCUCCCUCCUCCUCACCUGGCCAAUCCCAUUUGUGCAUUCAGAACUGGACUUCCUCCUCCGGGAAGCCUCCCUUGACCUUCCCUGCUCCCACUUGCAAGUUCACUGGCGAAAUCCCAGAACCCUUUAUCCCUUUGCUCUCUGAGCUCUUACCACAUGAUUUCGUUCCCUUGUGAACAUGAUUUUGUUCCCUUGUGGGUUUAAACACCAUCUGCAGUCCCAUUUCCUGAUACCCUGCCUGGCAUGCAGACAGAGUGAAUGAAUCCUCCCUUCCUUUUAAAUAAACACUAAUACUUUUGAGAUUUUAACACUUUGCAAGGGAAUUGUUCUCUAUGUUAAGCGCUUUCCUACUUUUAUAAAAACAUACUGAACAAAAUUAAACCUCUCGCAAAUGACUAAAGGUCGUGAGUGGAAUUAUAACUUAUAGCCCACUGAUUUCUUUGCAGCUUUUGCAGUGGGCAGAACUAUUAUCUUCACACCAAAUGGAUUCAUGUCACUAAGAUUUCGCUAGUGGUUGGAUCUGUUUUUUUAAAGUUUUCCAAUUUCUUUCCUCACCGUCUGAUGAUAAUUCUUAUUCUAGGUUGCUUGCCUUUUGGCAGUGCCCUUUUACCCAGUUCGUGGUACCUAAUCCAGCUGCCUUUGGGUUGAAAAACUAAGGAUACAGUCUCUUUACCUUUGGGUGCGGGUUAAGAGUAAAUUGGUCCUGAAUAAAGAUUAUGAACAAGGAUUUUCCUUGUUUUGGUUGCCUGAAGUCUUUUAAAAAUAAAUAAAUAAAUAAAAUAAACAACCUAGUUCCUGUUGACUUUAUAGAUUACUAAAAAAUGUAUCUAUUCCUGCCAAGAAAUAGUUUGAACUAAAAUCAGAGGGAACGUGCAGCUCUUUGAGUAUUUUGUUUGGUGCUAUGUAAUUGUAAUUAAUUUCAUGUCAUUUUCAUUGCUUUAUUUCCUCAACAUGGUACCUACAUCACAGGGCUUUUGUAAGAAUUAAAUGAGAUAACAUAGAUAAAAGUAAAGCAAUCAUUUUUAAAGUUCGGUUUUAAAAACCCACCCACUUUUGCAAAUCAGACUCUGUGUUUUUAAUCAGACAGUUGAAACUAGGGCAGUUGACCGUUGGGGCACUUGAUUUGCUAAACGAAAUCUCUCAGUCUUGUGAAGUGGGAACCAUGUGACCCUCUGACUCAGGUUUUGUGUUCUUCCUAGUGGAAGGAGCCUGGGAGAGGCCAGGCCUCCCCGGACUGCUAGCCUGCUUUUCCUGGGGUCCCUGGAGCCGGAGGAAGAACCAGGAUGUUGCUGCCUGCAGAAGCUCAGCUCAGGUGAUUUCUUCUCCUGUGUUCCAGAAGACUUCCAGGAACCUGAGGAGGAGCUGCCACUAACAGCCAUAUUUCCCAAUGGAGACUGUGAUGACCUUGGAAGGGGGUCAAAAGCCUGUGAUGGAGUCGUACACACUCCUGCUGAGCCCACCGGAGACUCAAGAUGAAGGCUGGACCCUUGCGCUGUCCCUGGCUCUAACCUACAGACUGGGGCCUGGCUCCGUCUUACUGGCCCCCAGGUCUCCAUGGAGACUGCAGAAACCCCCGCCUGCUGGAGGCCUGCCACACUCACAGUUACCAGCUAGACAGUGGGGCUUACUAAGACAAGCAGGACCUAAAACAGUGUCUCCCCUGGGAACCUACUCCCCACCCAGCAUUUGCUAAGUCUGAUCACAGGGAGGUUAUUUUGUCUCUCUGUCUCGGUUUCUCUGAGCCACUGAGACAGAUGGCUGUCCGCUUUGAGGCUCUGCAGAGCUGUGGCACCCCAUGGUGUGUCUGCAGUGUUCUGGGCACAUGCAUGGGCACCCAUCGUUGAGAGUGCAGCUGGGAAGAACUCUGAACCAGAAGUCAUCAGAGCUGAGGCAUGGCCUUGAACAUGUCACUCAGUCUCUGGGGCUUCUGUUUCACAAAUGCAUGAGGGGGCCACCAGCCCAGUGGCUUUAAACCAGGGGCAGGUUGUCCCUCCAGGCAGCAUUGGAAAUGUGUGUGUGUUGAGGGGGUCACAGUGACUGUGGGGGCACCCCUGGCAUCUAGUGGGCAUCCCACAAUGUGCAGAACAGUCUCUGACAGCAAAGAAUUGGUCCAUUCAAUGCCAAUUGUAGUACCUUUGAGACAUUCUGGCUGAGCCAAUGCCUUCUCCCUGUCAGAGUCCCCCAGAGCAGAGAGGGUCAGGCUUCCCUGGACCUUGGCUCCCAGAGCAAGCCAAAAUAAAGACUACACUGUUGCCUUGGGGGCUUGUCGGGCCAGGGCCAAGACGGUCUGCGUGCUGCAGGGCCAGGACAGAAAUAGCCACACAUGCCGGUGAGAACAAAGAGCCUCUUUCUUUCUCAUGUUGACAUCGACUUUCUGUGCCAAGUCCUUUGGGUAUAAGGAUGCUAGGGAAUUCCUAUAGGCACCAAACAGAAGGAAAGCUAGGGGCUUGGACUACUGGGUAUAGGACUUGCUCUAGCUCUCAGGUCCUAGCCCAAGCUCAAUGCAAACACAGCCCCUCCGGGCUCUCUGUUUCUGUGAGGUUCUGGAAUCCCUUCCUCUGUGUCCGUGAGUCUGACAGAAUCGAUGAUGUUCCCUUAGAGCUGGGAAAUCCAUGUGUUUAUUCACGGAGGGAACUCACCAUUACCUCCCUUGUCUUCUUUGCCUGCCUUGGAGAAAUCCAGAGUCUUCGGAAUGGCAAAGGCAGCUCCUGGAUUUCCCUGGAGGGGAGGCACUAGCUGAGGGAAGUAGCUCCCUUCAUUCAUGAUGCACAGUUUACGCAGCAGACACACAACUGCGCCUACUAUUUGCUCGGUGCCCUGCAAGGUGCUGCCUAACUUUGAUUUGUUAUUUCAGCUCUCUCCAGGAUAGUGCCAAAUGGUGCAAUGGGAAACCUGUUUUGCUGGGGGGCUCUAGAUCACUGGCUCCAGAACUCCCGGCUGCCAGGGUAGCCCCUACCCCCAGCCCCUUGCUCCUGGACAGCAGUGGGUCUCACCUUUAGCCUCUGCCCCCAGUUCUGGUCUGACCCAACAGAGGGGCUCUAUGAUAUUAAGAAGGGGCCCUUCCUGCUCUGUGCCUCAACCUAUUCUCCAUAAUAGGGAGUCUAAUCCUAUUCCUUCCCUGCCUGAUGAGGAUGGUGUGAGGAUGAGGAGGACGGCAUCUCAUUUGGGGCUUUUUGGCAGUGGGCCUCAUUUUAAUCCUGCAGGGCUGCCUGCCAGUGGAUCUAUCCAGCUGCUUCCUUGUAGCCAAGAAUGAGUUCAAUGAAUUGUGAUUCACUGAUUUUAUUGAUUUUGUUUUAAAACAGGGAGACUGGUAUUUUUGAAGCUGCUAUCAUUUUCUAUUUCUUUAUUAAUUUCUUUGUAAUCAUCUUAUUAAAGUUUUCUUAUUUAGUGGGAGAGGGAGCUUUGUUUAAGUUUGGAAUUUGCCUAAGGCAGAAGUUAUAAGGCUUCAUAACCUUUUGUAUGUAUUGCCAAUAUUUGAAACUUGGGAGAUUACGUAUAAAAAAUACCUAGUUUUCUGGGUGGAGGAUGGGGCAUGCUGUCAUCUCAAGUCUGCUGCGGCUCACCCCCACCACCUUUACCCCCUCCCCCGCCCUUCCCAUCCCCCACUGCACUUCACUCAUGUAAGACGUCUGCCCGGUGCUGGUCCAGGCGGGCAUGUGAGUUUGUAGCCUCUGCUCCAAAGGAUGGUUUACACAUUAUUUUUUCAUUACCUUCAGUAUUCCUGUGAAUGGUUCAAGAGAGAAAGUCUUCAUUUACUAAGAUUUGGGUUCUGCCUCCCAAGUGACAAUACGGGGCUGAGAUCCCUCUCAGCUUCUUUGAGAUGUGGCCACCAUAAGCAUCAUCGUUGUAGGGACAGUCUCAUUGCUGUCUUCUAGCAGACAGAAGAGUUAGGUGCCAGAAAGGACAAUCUUGAUGGUGGGUCCCCUCCCUGAAGGACUUUAAGAAGGCAUAAAGGGGUUGGGGUGGAGGGUGGCGUGUGAAGGAGGAGGCCCUUGAUUAGGUCAGUGGUCCCUGGGAGCCAUCGGCGAGAGGCCUCCAGCCGGGUGACAGUCUGGGCUCUCGGGUACUAAUCUUUCUAAUAUGGCAGUGGUUGUGGCACUUCUGACUUGAAUUGAUAAUUCUCAUAUCUAAUAAAACCAAGAAGUACCUCGUUGAUAUCUUAUAGAAAA